AGAGUUGAUCCUGGCGUCAGGAUGAACGCUAGCUACAGGCUUAACACANGCAAGUCGAGGGGAAACGACAUCGAAAGCUUGCUUUUGAUGGGCGUCGACCGGCGUACGGGUGAGUAACGCGUAUCCAACCUGCCCACCACUUGGGGAUAACCUUGCGAAAGUAAGACUAAUACCCAAUGAUAUCUCUAGAAGACAUCUGAAAGAGAUUAAAGAUUUAUCGGUGAUGGAUGGGGAUGCGUCUGAUUAGCUUGUUGGCGGGGUAACGGCCCACCAAGGCAACGAUCAGUAGGGGUUCUGAGAGGAAGGUCCCCCACAUUGGAACUGAGACACGGUCCAAACUCCUACGGGAGGCAGCA
This 356-nucleotide ribosomal RNA is filed under the name uncultured bacterium. RNAcentral's name for it is "bacterial SSU rRNA". It matches the Rfam family "Bacterial small subunit ribosomal RNA", at positions 8 to 353 of the family's 1533-position model. The record is from RNAcentral.